Long non-coding RNA from Chenopodium quinoa (quinoa), 1473 nucleotides. RefSeq lists it as uncharacterized. Lineage: Eukaryota; Viridiplantae; Streptophyta; Magnoliopsida; Caryophyllales; Amaranthaceae. The record is from RefSeq and is a predicted model, not a curated record. The transcript has 2 exons.
UUUUUUUUUUUGUAAUGAAUAGUGUUUGGAUAAUUAUACCAUCUAGACUAUUUAUUCACUAUCAUUAAUAAUGAUUACUUUUUUUUUCGUAAAAAAAAUACUUCCUCCGUUAACGGUUAAUUGCAACAUAUACUAAAAAUGGGUGCUAAUCUUUAAUUGCAACAAUUUUUUUUUUCCAAUUUUGCUAUGUUUUUUAAAUCAAAAAUACCUUCCUACCCUUAUUAUAAAAUGAUUAACAUACACUUAAGUACUUAACUACAACAUAUUAAAAUCCUAAUCUAACAUUACUAUCUAACCAUUCCCACAAAAAAAAAAAAUCUGAUCCCACUACCUCAUUCAUUUCCUUUUAAUACUGCCCCCAAAUUGAUUCAACUACCCAACUUCAUUAUUCAUUGCAAACUUCAACCUUUAACCACCUGCAUUUAAUCCAUGGCGUCAAACCCUAAUCUACAUAUGUCUAUAAAACCAUCAACCCUUGCAUUCCACGCGUUUCCCCUUCUGCUCUCAACAUCUCUUCUCUGUAUACUCUCUUUCCUCUCCAUAUUUCGACCUCGUUCUUUCUCAGAUCUGAACAAUUUCGACCGAAAUUAUGAGUUCUCCCCCUAAGAAAUCAUCUGAUCCUUUCUCGUAUGAGAGUCUUGGUGUUCAGAAAUAGGAAAUCGAUCUUGAUGCUCCUGGUGUUCAGCUGCACAAGUGCGAGCGCGGAACUGGUAAAAUGAAACCAGUUCGUCGGGCUUCUUUGGUGUGGACUAGAUUCAAGAAAUAUGGGAAUGGUGUUAAGAUCAGUGAGAUUGUCUCCGAUGAUGAAGAUUCCUCUGAUAAGGCAGAUCUGGGCAAAGAAGCAGCUGUGAACGCUCCCGUUGUUCCCAUCUGCCCAGAUCUGAAAAAUAAGGCCCCUGUUGAUGCUGAUCUUGCCAUUAAUAGUGACCUUAGCUUGAGGUUGCUAAAUCUGCUCUUGCUAAGCAACAAAGCAAAGGCGCUCUUUCUAGACACAAAAGGGUUCGAUCUGGGUACCCUAUUGAUGUGGAGAAUAUUGAUUUGGCUUAUCGUAAGGAGUUCCACCUAGAAAUGUUUCCUAACAAUUGACUGAUCAGCUUAUGUUUCAGAUUAAGAAGGUGAUGAAGUGGAGGUGGCUUUUUUUUGGACAAUUGAAGCAGAACCGAAGCACGCAAAUAAGAUGUUGAAGAUGCUGUCACUAACUUAGCACCAAUUAGGUUUAGGAUGGUAGUAUUUUGGGUAAUUAAGCUAACAGUAAGACUGAUUUAGUGGUAGCUUUUGUGGUUUAAAUUGUGGAUGUAAUUUGGUUAGUGAGAAGCCAUGGUUUGUAACUUUUGAGUUUCUUAAACAAUUGAAUUAAUGUGCUGUACUAUUUAUACUCUCCAUUGUAUUCGUUGAAAUGCAAGGAGGGAAAACAUUUGGUGCUAAAUCUGAAAAUUUGGAGUUGAAAAGUCAAAAUUUCAAAUUUGGUGAAAA